AUGAACGCUGGCGGCGCGCCUAACACAUGCAAGUCGAACGAUUAAAGCACCUUCGGGUGUGUAUAAAGUGGCGAACGGCUGAGUAACACGUGGGCAACCUGCCCCUUUCAUUGGGAUAGCCACGGGAAACCGUGGAUAAUACCGAAUACUUCGAGACUUCCGCAUGGAAGACUCGAGAAAGCUCCGGCGGAGAGGGAUGGGCCCGCGGCCUGUUAGCUUGUUGGUGGGGUAACGGCCUACCAAGGCAAUGAUGGGUAGCUGGGUUGAGAGACCGACCAGCCAGAUUGGGACUGAGACACGGCCCAGACUCCUACGGGAGGCAGCAGUGGGGAAUCUUGCACAAUGGGCGAAAGCCUGAUGCAGCGACGCCGCGUGCGGAAUGAAGGCCUUCGGGUUGUAAACCGCUUUCAGCAGGGACGAGGCGAAAGUGACGGUACCUGCAGAAGAAGCCCCGGCUAACUACGU
RNAcentral lists this ribosomal RNA (465 nucleotides) under uncultured bacterium. RNAcentral describes it as "partial 16S ribosomal RNA". It matches the Rfam family "Bacterial small subunit ribosomal RNA", at positions 29 to 506 of the family's 1533-position model. The record is from RNAcentral.